GUUUCCAGAGUGCUGCUUUUGGGUCCUAAUCACACCCGUCACAAAUAUAUCCACACCAUCAUUAAUGCAGGCUUAAUCAAAACACCGCCUCGGUUGCAGUAUAUAGCCAUUGUCACAGCCUAGCUUAGAGGAGAAAUUGAGAAAUAAGAUAAAUUUUGGAACCCACACAUGAUGUGUAUAUUAAAUGUAUAGUGAUGGGCAAAGAACAAAGAUAGUGAGUUAAUUAUGUAAUCAAUUUGUCACUAAUGUGUGUAGUGUAUGGAUGGGUGUUAGUAUAGGCACGCAAAAUGUAUGCUAACCAAACCCCAAAUCAGCCCAAUCAGGUAAUCAGGACAUGAGAGUGAAUGGCAGCUUACUCCGGGUGGAAACAAUCAUGGGUAACAGUCACUCCCUGGACCUGUUUCCUGUUUAGGUCCGGUUCCUAGGAUUCGGAGGGCUAGGAGCUGUCACAGCAUUGAUAACCAGAAAUGGAGAUCAAGAGCAGUCUAUAUAAAAACAUAUCUAUCAUUUAACUUUAGUUACUUUUUGAAGGAGUUAUUAUGGCAGUUAAUUACUUACAUAAUCAAGAAAUUAUGAAUAUAUUGUAGGUAUUUGUAUUGAUACAUUUGGUGAGAAAGUAAAACUGUGCUCAUAAAUUUACAUACCCUGGCAGAAUUUGUGAUUUGUGAUUUUUCUUUUUGGCCAUUUGUCAGAGACUAUGAAUAAUAACACAAAACCUUUUUUCUCCACACAAAGUAGUGGAGGAAGCCAUUUAUUGUCAAAUACCUGUGGUCACUCCUUUUAAAUCAUAACAACAGAAACUACCCAAAUGACGCUGAUCAAAAGUUUACCUACUGUGGGUAUUUUGGACUGAUAACAUGCACACAUCUUAACCUGUGAUCUGUUUUCUUGCAUUCAAUGUGUGUGUGUUUUGUGUGUUGCUGUGAGUUCCUGACAGAUCCUCUUUCAUCCGGUGCAGCACUGAUGUUUCUGGAUUCUGAAUCAGGGGGGAGCAAAACAUCUGUCAAAAGAUCUGCAAAAAAGGGGGGCGUGAAGGAACAGAUCAUCAUCCACAGAUGGCACUGCAGGUGGACGAACCUGCCGACAAUCUUCCAUCAACCGUUUCCAUUUAGGGACAGGGUGCCCGUCUGCCAGCGUUGGAUUGUUUCGUUCUCGUCACGUUGAGGUCUCCACGCCUGCCUCCGGACGCGAACCGCGUGCCGAACCAUUCGCCCGCACUAGAUCUGCGCUGGAGCUCUCGGUGCGUCCUGGAGGACCGAGCAAGAGAUUUGCUGGACAACCCAAGAGCCUUGUUCACUUUGUAUAUUCAAAUAAAGACACUUUUCAGACACUAUUCCCCACUGCAUGUUGCCUGCUUUCGGAUCCUGGGACAACCAUCCCUAACAAUUAGCCUAUUUUCAAAAUGAUAAGUAGGUUACGAAUACAUAUUGACCAUUUAUGAUUAAAUGUAAUUUUCCCCCGCAGCGCAUCCUGGAUGACGCACCAUGUGACUACUCUGCUGUACGAUGGUGCUUAAAGUUUAACUUCCAUUAUAAUGAGAAAUUAAAUAUUUAAACACAUUUUUACAUCACUGGAAAACUUUAAGAAUGUCAUGUUUUUCCUACUACAGAAAUUAUAUUAAAACAAAAAAUCUAUUCAUACUAUCUUUUUUCCAUUUUAAUUUUUUUGAAAAAGCUCCAGGGAGCCACUAG
Molecule: long non-coding RNA, 1691 nt
Filed under: Takifugu rubripes (torafugu)
Lineage: Eukaryota; Metazoa; Chordata; Actinopteri; Tetraodontiformes; Tetraodontidae
Description: lncRNA (ENSTRUG00000030142.1)
Source: RNAcentral